AUGCACUUCUGGCGUAUUAAAAUUUUCAACUUGUUGCCUUUUGUUGGCUGUUGUUCGUGUGUUUCUUUGUCAAUUGUAUUCUCCAAUUUAUUUAUAUUGUAGUCCUGUGGUGUUGAUUUGUCAUCUUAAUGUUAUAUUUCACAUGGCUAUAAAAGGGGAGGUUUGGCAUGCCACAAAACCAGGUUCAACCCGCCAUUUUUUUCUUUAAAAAUGUCCUGUACCAAGUCAGGAAUAUGGCCAUUGUUAUAUUAUAGUUCGUUUCUGUAUGUGUUACAUUUUAACGUUGCGUCGUUUGUUUUCUCUUAUUUUUGAGUGUAAAUUCACAUUGCGAUAAGACGUACUUGUCUAUCCCAAAUUCUUGUAUUUGGUUUUGAUGUUAUAUUUGUUAUUCUCGUGGGAUUUUGUCUGUUGCUUGGUCCGUUUCUGUGUGUGUUACAUUGUAGUGUUGUGUCGUUGUUCUCCUCUUAUAUUUAAUGCGUUUCCCUCAGUUUUAGUUU
This 497-nucleotide long non-coding RNA is filed under the name Mytilus galloprovincialis (Mediterranean mussel). Lineage: Eukaryota; Metazoa; Mollusca; Bivalvia; Mytilida; Mytilidae. The record is from RNAcentral.